Molecule: ribosomal RNA, 250 nt
Filed under: uncultured prokaryote
Description: partial 16S ribosomal RNA
Rfam family: Bacterial small subunit ribosomal RNA
Source: RNAcentral
UACGUAGGUGGCAAGCGUUGUCCGGAUUUACUGGGUGUAAAGGGCGUGCAGCCGGGCCAUCAAGUCAGAUGUGAAAUCCACGGGCUCAACCCGUGAACUGCAUUUGAAACUGAAGGUCUUGAGUAUCGGAGAGGUCAUCGGAAUUCCUUGUGUAGCGGUGAAAUGCGUAGAUAUAAGGAGGAACACCAGUGGCGAAGGCGGAUGACUGGACGACAACUGACGGUGAGGCGCGAAAGCGUGGGGAGCAAAC